GCGUCCGUAGUCUAGGGGUAUGAUAGGUCCCUGCCACGGACCAGGCCGGGGUUCGAGUCCCCGCGGACGCA
Molecule: transfer RNA, 71 nt
Organism: Monoraphidium neglectum
Lineage: Eukaryota; Viridiplantae; Chlorophyta; Chlorophyceae; Sphaeropleales; Selenastraceae
Rfam family: tRNA
About the family: Transfer RNA (tRNA) molecules are approximately 80 nucleotides in length.
Source: Rfam